GACGAACGCUGGCGGCGUGCUUAACACAUGCAAGUCGAACGGAAAGGCCCUGCGUUUGUGGGGUGCUCGAGUGGCGAACGGGGGAGUAACACGUGAGUAACCUGCCCUUGACUUUGGGAUAACUUCAGGAAACUGGGGCUAAUACCGGAGAGGAGCUCCUGCUGCAUGGUGGGGGUUGGAAAGUUUCGGCGGUUGGGGAUGGACUCGCGGCUUAUCAGCUUGUUGGUGGGGUAGGGGCUUACCAAGGCUUUGACGGGUAGCCGGCCUGAGAGGGUGACCGGCCACCUUGGGCCUGCGAGACGGCCCAGACGCCAACGGGCCGCAGCGGUGGGGAAUAUUGCACAAUGGGCGGAAGCCUGAUGCAGCAACGCCGCGUGCGGGAUGCCGUCCUUCGGGUUGUAAACCGCUUUCGCCUGUGCCGUAGCGUGAGUGACGGUAAUGGGUAAAGAAGCACCGGCUAACUACGUG
Molecule: ribosomal RNA, 468 nt
Filed under: uncultured bacterium
Lineage: Bacteria
Description: partial 16S ribosomal RNA
Rfam family: Bacterial small subunit ribosomal RNA
Source: RNAcentral